AAGGAAUUGACGGGGGCCCGCACAAGCGGCGGAGCAUGCGGAUUAAUUCGAUGCAACGCGAAGAACCUUACCUGGGCUUGACAUACACCGGAUCGCUGCAGAGAUGUAGUUUCCCUUGUGGCUGGUGUACAGGUUGUGCAUGGUUGUCGUCAGCUCGUGUCGUGAGAUGUUGGGUUAAGUCCCGCAACGAGCGCAACCCUCGUUCU
This 206-nucleotide ribosomal RNA is filed under the name Nephroselmis pyriformis. RNAcentral's name for it is "partial Bacterial small subunit ribosomal RNA". It matches the Rfam family "Bacterial small subunit ribosomal RNA", at positions 904 to 1111 of the family's 1533-position model. Lineage: Eukaryota; Viridiplantae; Chlorophyta; Nephroselmidophyceae; Nephroselmidales; Nephroselmidaceae. The record is from RNAcentral.